AACGAACGCUGGCGGCAUGCCUAACACAUGCAAGUCGAACGAGACCUUCGGGUCUUGUGGCGCACGGGUGCGUAACGCGUGGUAACCUUCCCUUAGGUUCGGAAUAACUCCCCGAAUGGGGUGCUAAUACCGGUUAAUUUCUUCUGACCAAAGAUUUAUCGCCUUUGGUUGGGCCCGCGUUGGAUUAGCUUGUUGGUAGGGUAAAAGCCUACCAAGGCGAGGAUCCAUAGAUGGUAUGAGAGGAUGAUCAGUCACACUGGGACUGAGACACGGCCCAGACGAGUACGGGAGGGAGGAGUGGGGAAUGUAGGAAAAUGGGGGAAAGGAUGAAAAAGCAAUGACGGGUGAGUGAUGAAGGGAUGAGGGAUGUAAAGCUCAUUUAAACGGGAUGAUAAUGACAGUACCGGGAGAAUAAGCAACGGCUAACUACGUG
This 433-nucleotide ribosomal RNA is filed under the name uncultured bacterium. Its description in RNAcentral is "partial 16S ribosomal RNA". It matches the Rfam family "Bacterial small subunit ribosomal RNA", at positions 29 to 507 of the family's 1533-position model. The record is from RNAcentral.